AUCUGUGUUACAGGUGCACUUGUGCCUGAUCUCCCAUCGCCUGGGUAGCCAACACAGCUGCUUCUCCCAGUGUUAUUGAAGUGGAAAGUGCAGCACAGUUGGCCUCUUCAUUCUUUUCCAAUCAAGCUCUGCCUAUUAAGGAAUCCCAAAUAAAAAGAAACAGAGAAGUCCAGCAACAUGAGAUGGCAUCCACAGGGAAAACAGAGCUGAGUGAAUUGUGGCAGGGUUACUUUAAAGCAUGGCCUUCCCUGGAACAUCCUCCACCUGACUCAAUGUGAGCCCAAGACUUGCAGGUGCCUUUUAACUAUCCACAGAGUAAACCCAGCUCUGCCAGGCUGUGCUGCACCAGGGUCCCUCCUGCCCCAUGGGGGAGAGCAGCAGGAUGGGGCAGAGAAGGCAGAGCCUGCUGGUGCUCUCAGGGCCCUGACCACACUCCCAUUUCAAGACAC
Molecule: long non-coding RNA, 449 nt
Filed under: Cyanistes caeruleus (blue tit)
Lineage: Eukaryota; Metazoa; Chordata; Aves; Passeriformes; Paridae
Description: lncRNA (ENSCCEG00000013510.1)
Source: RNAcentral